AUUUGCCCUUGUAGUUUAGACCAUUUUCGUUCUCUCAUUCUAUAAUUCAAAAGUUACACUGAACUAUCAUAUAUUUUAGCAUAUUUUUACUUUGCCGCUCCGUGGUUUGAAGGUUAUAUUUAACUAUUUUGUACUUUUUAAGAAAUUUAUUUUGUUACCAUAUUGGAUGGUGAAUUUUUUUUAGUAAAAUAAGAAUAAAAUCAUGUGAUAGUUAAGUACAACUUUUUUGAACUAUAAGGUGGCAAAAUAAAAUUGAGCUAAACUAUAUGGGUGCAAAUUGAAGUUUACUCUUUUUUUUUUGUUUUGAAAAAUACAGAUUUCAAAUCAAAUUUUAAUUUACUGUAUAUUUUUAAGUUUUUUUUUAGAAAUCGAGCUUAAAACUGAAUCUGAAUCAGAACAUCAUAUUUUAAUAUUUAAAAAAUAUGAUACAAAUAUACAAAACUUAUAUAACUAUGAACCAUUUUAGAUCUCUACUUAACCUUUCAAAAUUUUGAUUCUUAUUACCUACUAUGUCAAUUUGUUUGAUUUUUUUGACUUCAAAAUUUUCACUAAUUACUCACUUUAAUAAAUUUAUAGUUGCAAAAAUUAUAUGAAAUAUGCUAACAAAAUCUAUAAAGAUAAACAACACAUUUAAAUUUUGAAGUCAAAGUGCCGUUGACGAACUACAAUCAACUUACAAAACUAGAUAGUAAAAAAGAUUGAAUAACCAAAUUGAAAUAGUUCAUAAUUCAGAUAAGUUUUAUAUAUUUUCAUCAUAAAUACAUUAAUAAAAUAAUUGCCAAAUAUUUGUCUUUGGAUGAAGGAGUAUAAAAAUUCACAUCAGCUUUCACAGGAGGGUCCUAAUUUGGGAUUUCCGAACUACUAAUCCUAGAGUUUUUUAAUUAUAAAAAUAAUUAUUUUAAAUUUUUAUUUGUAAAACUAGACUUAAGCAAUGAAUUAAUUCACCGCUUUCUAAAAGUCAAACUUACAUCUAUCUAUUAUCUAUUACUUCUAUUACUAUAUACGAAAGUGCGUGGGAUAGUUUUCUUUUAUUGACCUGUGUCCAGUUCUACUAUUCGGUACACCCGGUGCACCGUAAACCAUUGAUUGUAGACAUAUGAAUGAUCUAUAAAAAAAUCUUUGGUGCAUCUGGUCUAUUCUUUCUUCUACAUUAAAGGAGGGUUUGGGGGAUUACACCUAUCCCCCAAAACCCUGCUCUCCUCUCUCUCCUUGCAUAUAUAUAUAUAUAAAGAGAGAGAGAGAGAGAGAGAGAGAGAGAGAGAGCUAGCUCAAUUAUAUAUGAGUCCGGCUGUGGUGCUUGUAAAUUUUUUACCGAUAGAUCUACGUCUUUGAUCAUUUUUAAUCGUUAGAUCCCAGAUUGUGGUCACUUCAUCCAGCCUAUCCCCCAGCAGGGUGUUCUCCAAGUUCAUCACCAUUAGAAAUCUGGAGAACACACACCGAGCCAAUAAGUGGUCGACCGUUUCCUCUUCAGUCCUGCACAGCACGCAUGUAGUAUUUCCAGUCCAGCCUCU
This 1511-nucleotide long non-coding RNA is filed under the name Ananas comosus (pineapple). RNAcentral's name for it is "long non-coding RNA (ACOM_LNC027060)". The record is from RNAcentral. Lineage: Eukaryota; Viridiplantae; Streptophyta; Magnoliopsida; Poales; Bromeliaceae.